CAAGAAGAGACCAAAUCAAGACCCAAGAUUUUUGAAGAUAUUGUUGAGAGUAUGAAAAGUCUUAUUAUAGUAGGAGGAAGAAAGGGUGAGGAAGAUGGUGGUCAUGGUGGCAAACCAGCAAGAAAUGACAAUUCUAACUAGUAGAGUUAGCCAACUCUUGAAUUUGAUUCGGAGAAUUGUUAUAGAAAAAGAAAAGAAAAGGGGAUCAGUUGUUUCCUGUGCAGGUGUUCAAACUAACUUGCAGUAGCUGUCCCAUUGCAAAUCUACUUUUUCUUUUGCCAUUUUCCAGAAGUUAUAUAUAUAUAUAAAGAUGAAAAGAUUGAGAGGAAGAAAUUGCUGAAUUCCAUCGUCUCCAUCUUUCACUUAUUUUAAUUAUUUGCAUAUGUUCUAUCUUUUGUCCUUUUUUUCUGAUAUUUUAGAAAUUCUUUAAAGAAUUCACUUUCCUACGGUAUAUGACAAACAAUCAAUCAGUAUGCUCAAUGAUAAUGUUUUCGCAUUUCUUUAAACCGGCGUUCCUAUUAAAAUAAAUUAAGCCUUUUAUCACCAUUUUCAUAAGAAUUAUUGCAGUAGGAUAAUGGCUAAAAUGGGAAGAAACUAAAAAAGAAAAUGAGACCUUAAUAGUAACCAAACUUUGAUAAUUUGCCUCUCUAAAAUUGAAUUUUGUUUUAGUUAUGAGAAGUGUGAUCAAGUCGAACUAAUACACGAGCUACUCGGAUUUGACUUGAAAAAUAUUUAAAAUUGACUCGAGAUUGAUCGAUCCUUUAAACUCCAACUACUCAAAUAGCUUGAUAAACCAAACUUGAGCUCUAUAAUAAUUUGCUGGAGAGUCUAAU
RNAcentral lists this long non-coding RNA (833 nucleotides) under Ricinus communis (castor bean). RNAcentral describes it as "long non-coding RNA (RCOM_LNC001668)". Lineage: Eukaryota; Viridiplantae; Streptophyta; Magnoliopsida; Malpighiales; Euphorbiaceae. The record is from RNAcentral.